Molecule: ribosomal RNA, 548 nt
Filed under: uncultured archaeon
Lineage: Archaea
Description: bacterial SSU rRNA
Rfam family: Archaeal small subunit ribosomal RNA
Source: RNAcentral
ACGGGGCGCAGCAGGCGCGAAACCUUUACACUGCACGCAAGUGCGAUAAGGGGACCCCAAGUGCGAGGGCAUACAGUCCUCGCUUUUCGUGACCGUAAGAAGGUCUCAGAAUAAGAGCUGGGCAAGACCGGUGCCAGCCGCCGCGGUAAUACCGGCAGCUCGAGUGAUAGCCACUAUUAUUGGGCCUAAAGCGUCCGUAGCCGGCCGAACAGGUCCGUCGGGAAAUCCACCCGCUCAACGGGUGGACGUCCGGCGGAAACCAGUCGGCUUGGGGCCGGGAGACCAGAGAGGUACGUCCGGGGUAGGAGUGAAAUCCUGUAAUCCUGGACGGACCACCGGUAGCGAAAGCGUCUCUGGAGAACGGACCCGACGGUGAGGGACGAAAGCUUGGGUCUCGAACCGGAUUAGAUACCCGGGUAGUCCAAGCUGUAAACGAUGCUCGCUAGGUGUGGCGUUGGCUACGAGCCAGCACUGUGCCGUAGGGAAGCCGAGAAGCGAGCCGCCUGGGAAGUACGUCCGCAAGGAUGAAACUUAAAGGAAUUGGCGGG